UCCCUGGUGGCUCAGAUGGUAAAGAAUCUGUCUGCAGUGCAGGAGACCCAGGUUCCAUCCCUGGGUGGGGAA
This 72-nucleotide transfer RNA is filed under the name Bos taurus (domestic cattle). It matches the Rfam family "tRNA". Rfam says of the family: Transfer RNA (tRNA) molecules are approximately 80 nucleotides in length. Their secondary structure includes four short double-helical elements and three loops (D, anti-codon, and T loops). Further hydrogen bonds mediate the characteristic L-shaped molecular structure. tRNAs have two regions of fundamental functional importance: the anti-codon, which is responsible for specific mRNA codon recognition, and the 3' end, to which the tRNAs corresponding amino acid is attached (by aminoacyl-tRNA synthetases). tRNAs cope with the degeneracy of the genetic code in two manners: having more than one tRNA (with a specific anti-codon) for a particular amino acid; and 'wobble' base-pairing, i.e. permitting non-standard base-pairing at the 3rd anti-codon position. The record is from Rfam by way of RNAcentral. RNAcentral also lists the same sequence under 1 other name. Lineage: Eukaryota; Metazoa; Chordata; Mammalia; Artiodactyla; Bovidae.